This 70-nucleotide transfer RNA is filed under the name Marmota monax (woodchuck). Its description in RNAcentral is "tRNA.Ala". The record is from RNAcentral. Lineage: Eukaryota; Metazoa; Chordata; Mammalia; Rodentia; Sciuridae.
GGGGUUGUGGCUCAGUGGCAGAGUGCUGCCUGGCAAGUGUGAGGCCCUGGGUUCGAUCCUCAGCACCACA